AAAGGGCCUUGCUAUAUUUUAAGGGACAAUCUCAAAGUUCAUCUGUUGAUAACUAGAAACAUACAACACUAGACAUAAAAUUAUCUUCUGUAUAUCAACAAAAUUAAUUUCAGUAACCAUUUCGUGAUGAUCUAAACUACCUACCUUAUAUCUUUGAAUGGGGGUAGAGCAGGAAGACGAACUAGUAGAGUAGAACCAUUGACACAGAUUAGAUCCUCCCUAUCGAGUAAAAAAUGAUACAUCUCCCCAGCAACCAUCAAAGAAGGAUAUUUAGAGAAGUACACAAGUGCAUCUACAAGAUUACAUCAUCAGCUGUACAAAAUGGUAACCAUCAUCCUACAGCUACUCACGCUGCAAAUAACCUGCACGUUAUACGGGUCAAAUGUAGGGACAUUAUGCUUCUACUGCUGCUCCAUCUUCAACUUCAGGAUCUGAAUCUGAAUCGGCAUCUGCUGCUGAGAUCAAUGAGGCUGACUGAAUUUUCCCAGCAUGCUCAAGACGCAUCAGAAUUACUCCUCUCGCAUACCGGGACUGGAUAGAGAUGUCCCGAACUUUUAUGCGAUUCACCGUUCCACUCUGGCUCACAAGAACAACUUGCUCAUCACUCUCACCAUCUUCUCCAAAGGAGAAUCCAACUACGAAUACUGCUGCCAGGCGAUCUUCAGAUGAAAACUUGUAACCAAUUAAACCGACUCUAUUCAAAGGUGAUGUGCGGAAUCUGCUAACUGGAACUCGCUUCCCAUAACCGCUUUCUGACACGAAUAGCAGCCAUGGGCCAUUCAUGCUCCUUUUAUUUCUUUGAUGAACUGCCAAGGUCACGUCCAGUUCCUUCUGCAAAGCAUCUGGUAUAAUGUCCAUGCUAGCCACUUUAUCCCCAUCUUUUAGUCUCAUGGCAACAGAGCCUCUAGUAUUUCUACCAAGUGCUCUUAUAUUUGCGCAAGGCGUCAAAAUCACCAUUCCAUUUAGUGAAGCCAUUGCAACAAAAUCAUUAUUUGAGCAACAUUUCACCCAUUUUAAUUCAUCACCUGGGACCAAUUGAAUCGCAAUUAUUCCUGUAGACCUAAUAGAGGCAAAAUAGUUCAAUGAUACUUUUUUGAUAUAUCCAUUCACAGUAAGCAUCACAAGAUACUGAUCUCCCGCAAAAUCGCUAACAGGAAUAAUUGAAGUUAUUCUCUCGCCAUCAGACAAGGAUAAUAUCUGAAUUAAAGGAGUGCCAGCUGCAGUUCGGCUGCAUUCAGGAAUCUUGUAAGCUGGAGAAGAGUACACGGUACCUUUAUCGCUAAAAUAGAGAACUUUGUCAUGGGCCCGGCAAACAAGGAAAUCAGACAUCGCAUCAUUUACUCUUAAUUUACCAACUGAUUUGCCAAUAGUCCCUCGAUUUUGUAGAUUAAACGUGUCAGGUUUCAUCCGUUUAACAUAUCCCUUCUCACUAAUUGCCAGUAGCAUUUCUUCAUUCGGAAUCACGUCUAUAUCUUCAAGAUCACCGCUGUCUGUAUCCUCUAACUGUGAACGCCUCGGAGUGAAAUACUUGUCCUUUAUUUCAAGUGCCUCUUCUUCAAUCA
RNAcentral lists this unclassified non-coding RNA (1562 nucleotides) under Hevea brasiliensis (rubber tree). The record is from RNAcentral. Lineage: Eukaryota; Viridiplantae; Streptophyta; Magnoliopsida; Malpighiales; Euphorbiaceae.